GUGGGGAAUAUUGCACAAUGGGCGCAAGCCUGAACCAGCCAUCCCGCGUGGAGGAAGACGGCCCUAUGGGUUGUAAACUUCUUUUCAAGGGGAAGAAAGUUCGCGACGUGUCGCGAUUUGCCGGUACCUUUGGAAUAAGCAUCGGCUAACUCCGUGCCAGCAGCCGCGGUAAUACGGAGGAUGCGAGCGUUAUCCGGAUUUAUUGGGUUUAAAGGGUGCGUAGGCCGAUCGAUAAGUCAGCGGUGAAAUACCAUGGCCCAACCAUGGAACUGCCGUUGAUACUGUCGGUCUUGAAUAUGGUCAAGGUAGGCGGAAUGUGUAAUGUAGCGGUGAAAUGCUUAGAUAUUACACAGAACACCGAUUGCGAAGGCAGCUUACUGGUCCAUUAUUGACGCUGAGGCACGAAAGUGUGGGGAUCGAACAGGAUUAGAAACCCUGGUAGUCC
RNAcentral lists this ribosomal RNA (445 nucleotides) under uncultured bacterium. RNAcentral describes it as "partial 16S ribosomal RNA". It matches the Rfam family "Bacterial small subunit ribosomal RNA", at positions 354 to 796 of the family's 1533-position model. The record is from RNAcentral.